Gasterosteus aculeatus aculeatus (three-spined stickleback) is the source of this 4274-nucleotide long non-coding RNA. Lineage: Eukaryota; Metazoa; Chordata; Actinopteri; Perciformes; Gasterosteidae. The record is from Ensembl.
GGUGGGAGUUGGGGGGGGGGGGGUCAACCCCUAAGACCUGUACUCAGUAUCUGGUCCUACCCGUUCUGCUGUUUUUGCAUUGUACACAGUUAUAACAAACCACGGUCCUGGAAAAUGUAUAGUAGAAAGCAUGUAGUUGAAAUCAUGGGUAGGCAAUAGGGGGGGUUGGUGUUGACCCUCAGUCAAUCAGAAGAAGACUAGUUCCACACUCUACACUUUAGUGCAGAUGAGCGAUUUGUUUGUUCAAGCCUGGUAAGCUGCAGUGUGAGCACUCAAAAUGAUUCAAACUGACAUCACAGUGGAAAGGCACAGCAGUGAUGUGUAGUUAACUGCUGGAAAAAAGUUAAAAAAGGAAUAAUAUCAAAUCAUGGUGCUGUUACACUUUAUAUUACUGCCACUGUGACUACUAUUACUCCUACCCCUUUAACUGCCCUACAAUUUGUUAGAGCACAUUACAAGUCACUAUAUUGAAUAAAAAAUGUGUCGACCUUGACAUAAUCUGAUUGAGCCAUCUCUACCACUUGGUCUAACUAUAUUAUUUCUAGAUGUUACGUGUUUUUAAGAAGGGGUCCCUUUUCUACUUGCCUCUUCACUGGAAGUUAUCAAGACAAAUUUAGAACUAGGUUCUAUUCAAUCGUCACUCUCGAUUGUCAUUUUACACUUUACCCAUUUUGGCUUUUAAAUGGCUGAGGGAGCUGUCGCUCUUUUCCUUGAGGUGUUGUAUCCAAUAGGAUCAGACAAUCAAAAGAAGUGGUUGACCCAUGUGAUACGACACUCAUUCAGUACUCUAUGAACGGGAAACUUCACGUAGAUGUGUUUUAUAGGGCUCAUAGGGCUGUUAGUGAUUUUUUCUCAGACCAAAACUUUACACAUCAAAAUAUAUUGCAUUAUGUUAUCAGUAAAAGUCAUAUACAAUCAAUGACAAUGAAUAAAUGUGUUAGUAGUUUAUUAAAUUAAUUUUAUUAUUUAAUUUUAUUAAGAAAACAGUAAAGAAAAGUAUGUCAACACAACACAACAAGACAAUUGCAGAUUAAGAACUAUCUACAUAUGGAGUCUCCUUUUUACAGUAGUGCCCAGAGGGCCUCCUUGUCCUCCACGUCAGGUCCUGCCUUGCACAGAGGAGCCAUGAACCCCAGAACACGUGUUCUGAACACGUGUUCUGGGGAACACGUAGUCUGAAUCAUGUUCAGCGCAGAUGAACAUGAUUCAGACUACGGCGUUUAUAUGUUCAACAAUAGGAAACGUAGUCUUAGCUGUUUUAAAAUUACACCAAGUUUAUUUCGGAUUAUUCCAACGGAAGAAUACAAGGCGCAGGGAACUUUGAGGUGCGUAAACGCCACUUAGAGGUGCGUAAACGCUAUUUAUAGGUGCGUAAACGCUAUUUCCAAAUUCUAGAGGUGCGUAAACGGCGUUUACGUGCGUUUACCCUCCACUACAGCCCUGGUCCCGUAUAUUCCUCCACAACUUUUUUUUCCUCGACCGGCAAACCAACGUUUGCCGAGAUCUCCCUCCGUGAAUCGGAGGCCAUCAGAGCGUCCUUAUAGACCGCCAAUGACGGGUUGUAUAAGUGGUCAUAUUUACGCAUUUCUUCCGACAAAAGCUCUUCAAUCUGAUUCUCUCGUAAAAAUUCUUCGUUUUAAUAAUGGCGGUAUUGUGCUAUGAAACCGGAAAUGUGAGACUCCGGAAAGGAUGUAGUUAGCAGACCAAUUACAGCCUUGCGGGCUGCGAGAAGAGUGGAUAUAAACAGCGAGUGGUGUAGUCCGAUAGUGUUGGUACCAAAACCAGAUGGCACCAUUCGCUUUUGUAAUGAUUUUAGAAAGGUGAAAUAUCCAAAUUUGACGCCUAUCCCAUCCCUAAUCGAACGGCUAGGGACAGCCUGCUUUAUCACCACACUGGACCUCACAAAAGGAUACUGGCAGGUGCCCUUAGCUCUUGAGGCACGGGAGAAAACCGCAUUUGCCACCCCGGACGGGCUUUUCCAAUAUAAGAAACUGCCUUUUGGGUGGCAUGGGUCCCCACCGACCUUCCAGAGAUUGAUGGACCGGGUUCUCCGUCCCCAUCGUGAGUAUGCGGCGGCCUACAUUGACUCACCUGUGCACCAGGUGAGUUUGGUAUUACAGGUGUUACGGGAAGUGGGGCUAACGGCGAACCCCACAAAAUGCCGGCUCGGGCUGCAAGAGGCUGAGUACCCCGGAUACACAAUUGGCAGGGGGUGUGUCAAACCCCAAGUAAAGAAAGUGGAAGCAAUCCGCGAUUGGCCCCGGCCCCGUAAAAAAAAGCAGGUACGCACGUUUUUGGGGUUGACUAGCUACUAUCGGAGAUUCAUCCCUCACACACAGCCGCCCUAGCCGGCCCUCUGACAGUUUUGAUCAGGAGCCGCCUGCCCAACCAGGUGACGUGGACCGAGGAGACGGAGAAAGCCUUCCAGAACCUGAAGGGAGCGCUGUGUUCGAGACCCGUACUAGUGACCCCGGACUUCUCCAAACCACUGGUGGUACAGACGGAUGCAUCCGAAUCUGGGGUUGGUGCAGUCUUAUCAAAGCUACAAGAAGGUGAGGAACAUCCAGUAUUGUACAUUAGCCGGAAGCUUUUGCCACGAGAACGAAAAUACUCCACCGUUCAAGUGAGCCCUGGAGAAGCUGAAAUACUACCUGCUGGGACGACACUUCACCCUCGUAACAGACCAUCGCCAUUCAACCCUGUGUGCCCAUAUCUUAACCUACUCCACACUACCUCUUCCCUCUUGCACCCAAUCAUUCCCACAACCUCCUUCACUGACCUAUUUAUACCCCGGAAGUGCCUCCCUUUACCACCUUCACCCCACUGUCUCUCCCACUCUGCAAUCCCUGCUUCCCGUAUCAACAACUUAACCUCCCUGCGCCCUAACGACACCCUUACAUCCACCUCAGUCCUCCUUACAGCACUCUUUGCCACCAUGUCAGCCACCUCAUUACCCUCCACUCCAGCAUGCGCAGGAACCCAGCAGAACCUCACCUCUACUCCCUGUCUCUCCAACCCCAGCAAUAUCCCCAUCAAUUCUCCCAAUAGGUCUUCCCUGUCAGACCUACCAUCCAUAACAGUGCUUAACACUGCUGCUGAGUCUGAACAUAUCAGCACCCUACAUGGUGUCACAUCCUCCACCCAUCUCAACCCAAUGAUCAUAGCCACCAUCUCUGCUGUAUACACCGACACAUUAUCAGUGACUCUUUGACAGAUACUCACACUGAACUCAGGAACAUGCACUCCUGCACCCACUCAGACCACACACCACCUUAGAUCCACCUUAGAGUUAGCGAAACCAGGGACCAUAGUUACAUGUAUACCGGGAGCCAGAGCGGGCGACAUUGAGUCUUAUCUUAAACUGCUGGCUAGGGAUAAACGUAAAUACAGUAAGAUUGUAAUACAUGUCGGCGGUAAUGACUCCCGAUUACAUUGCUCGGAGGUCACUAAAGUUAAUGUGGAAUCGGUGUGUACAUACGCUAAAACAAUGUCGGACACCGUAGUUUUCUCUGGCCCCCUCCCAAACUUGACAAGUGACGACAUGUAUAGCCGCAUGUCGUCAUUCCGCCGCUGGUUGUCGAGGUGGUGCCCAGUAAAUAAUGUGGGCUUCGUUGAUCACUGGAAGACGUUUUGUGGAGAGCCUGGUCUGAUUAGGAGGGACGGCAUCCAUCCCACUUUGGACGGAGCUGAACUUCUUUCUAAGAACCUGACCCAGUUUCUUAGUGGACUUAAUCCAUGACCCAGAGUUCAGACCAGGGAGCAGAGUCGCAGUCUUACACACUUCUCUGCGCUUCAAUCUGAGCAGUCACUCAGCAUAAUGAACCCUAUAGAGACUUCGUCUGCCCCACGGACACACUUAUCUAAGUUAAAGGUAAACAACCGAGGAGUUGUAGUAAAUAACUUAAUUAAAGUUAAAACUAAUAAUGCAAUAGUGCAACAAAAUAGGAGAAUUAAAGGGGGUCUUUUGAAUAUCAGAUCUCUGUCAUCUAAAGCUGUUUUGGUAAAUGAACUAAUAUCAGAUCACCAUGUUGAUGUAUUUUGUCUUACUGAAACGUGGUUGUUGAAUGGGGAAUAUUUCUGUUUAAAUGAAGCGACUCCUCCGAGUCAUGUUAAUACUCAUAUUCCCCGAGGCACAGGCCGAGGGGGGGGGAGUGGCAGCUAUUUAUGACUCCUGCCUUUUAAUAAACUUUAAACCUAAGGUGGAUUAUAACUCAUUUGAAAGCCUGGUUUUCAGUCUUUCGCAACCGACCUGGAAAAUAAUCCAGCCGGUUCUC